GACGUAGGGCGCGAGCGUUGUCCGGAUUUAUUGGGCGUAAAGAGCUCGUAGGCGGCUUGUUGCGUCGACCGUGAAAACCCGUGGCUUAACUGCGGGCUUGCGGUCGAUACGGGCGGGCUGGAGUUCGGUAGGGGAGACUGGAAUUCCUGGUGUAGCAGUGAAAUGCGUAGAGAUCAUGAGGAAGACCAGUGGCGAAGGCGGGUCUCUGGACAGUUCCUGACACUGAGACACGAAGGCCAGGGGAGCAAACGGG
This 253-nucleotide ribosomal RNA is filed under the name uncultured bacterium. RNAcentral's name for it is "partial 16S ribosomal RNA". It matches the Rfam family "Bacterial small subunit ribosomal RNA", at positions 524 to 776 of the family's 1533-position model. The record is from RNAcentral.